Molecule: small nucleolar RNA, 138 nt
Organism: Ornithorhynchus anatinus (platypus)
Lineage: Eukaryota; Metazoa; Chordata; Mammalia; Monotremata; Ornithorhynchidae
Source: RefSeq, a predicted model, not a curated record
CCCCUCUCAGGAUCACACUUGGAGAGUUUCCAGUACUCUACCAGUCUCGACUACGGGAGGGAGAGACAAGCAGAGGCCUAUCCAUUCCAUUCCUAGCUUGGGCAGUGGCUAGAGAGCGGAAGGCCACCUGUUACAAGU